Molecule: long non-coding RNA, 1947 nt
Organism: Cyprinus carpio carpio
Lineage: Eukaryota; Metazoa; Chordata; Actinopteri; Cypriniformes; Cyprinidae
Source: Ensembl
CACACCUGCGUCCCAUCAAGCACCGGCUUUAUAAACCUGGCAACCAAACAUAGAGGUGAGUGAUGUCUCCACAUGUCUCAGCUAGCCACAUUCUCUAUUGUUCCUGCAGAGCGCAGUGUGUGACUGCCAACCCCACCAUGAAGGGAGAGCACGGACCCAUACAGCACAGCGCACCACAAGAGGAGAGAGAGAAAGAGAGAAGCUGAGCACCGAGCACCAUAUGUCUCACGUGGAAGAACUGCUGAAGCACCUCACUGAGGUGAGCAUCCGCCAGCAGCAAAUUACGGAGCACAUGGCCUCCUGACAAGGGGAAACUGAACGCGAGCUUGCUGCGUUCCGCAUCGCCGCUGCCCAGCGAACUCCGCUACCCGACCCCUGUGUCCAGGCCACGCAGUUGCUGCCAAAGAUGACGGUGCAUGAUGAUGUAGCAAUGUAUCUCCAAAUGUUCGAAACUAUUGCCGCCCGGGAGGCGUGGCCCAGGGAUGAGUGGGCACGGAUUGUGGCACCGCUCUUGAUGGGAGAGGCGCAACGGGCGUACUUUGCACUUACAUCGGAACGGAGUGCUUCCUAUGAGGAAUUGAGGAAGGAGAUCCUGGGCCGGGUUGGGCUAUCGCCGAUCAGCACCGCUCAACUCUUCCAUGAGUGGACCUUUGAUCCGUGGCAGCCGGCCCGGGCUCAAGCCGCCAACCUCUCUUGCCUUGCCCAACAUUGGCUACUGGCCGGGGGUCCCACCGCACACCUUGGCUGGCAGGCUGCGCUGUGCACACCGAGAACGUGCCGCGGGCAGAAGUGAAAAUAAAUGGCCGCCCAUUCCUCACCCUCCUAGACUCCGGCAGCGCGGUCAGCCUGGUAAAAACAACUGUCCUGCCCCCACGAGCCGAAACCAAGGCGAAGCUGCCCAUAACCUGUGUGCACGGCGACACAAGAGAAGGCGCGGUGCGUCACUAUCACAGCGCCGGUGGAAGUUGGACUCGUCAAGGAUCUGCCUGUCCUGGUCCUUCUCCCCACCACUCAGCCUGUCAGCCCUGCCGGGAACCGCCCAAAACGGAGGACAACAAAGAAGCCCCAACAGCACCCCGUGUUGUUGGCCUCGGACAGCCCCAAGGAAGGUGAGUAAAUCCCCCCCAGAGUUCUAACCUCUAUUUUGAUCUCUACCAGCAGGUGACUGGGGCCGGGGCCUUUGCCAAGGAGCAACAUGAGGAUGACCGCUUAAAACACUGCUGGGCCCAAGUGAGAUGUCACCAGAGAGGCCUGGGAGCAACAACCGGUGGUACACAGUGUGUGACCGCCAGCCCCACCACGAAGGGAGAGCACAGACCCACACAGCACAGUGCACCACAAGAGGAGAGCGAGAAGCCGAGCACCAAACGCCUCACGUUAGCCCUUUUUUCCCCAACACCUCACCAAUAAAAUCCACCCUUUGGGGAACUUACCUGCAUCCUUGUGUGGUGUGCUUCACCCUGUCACAUUAUUUUUUUUUUUAAGUUUUCUAUAGAUAUCGCAGUAUAUUGUUAUAGUGAAUUUUUGUUGCCAUGACAAUCAUGUAGUGAAAAAUCUGAUAUUGUGACAGCCCUAAUCUAUACAUAGGGAUCAGGUGGAAAUCAAGUUACUGGAGGAAGUGCUUUAAUGGACUGGAGUGGUCUGAAGUGACGGUUUAAAGUUAAAAUGUCUUGAUGGAUUUGUUAUUUAUAAACAUUUGUUAUUUAUAAACAUGCAGCUUUUUACUUCACAGGAUGAUAAUUGAUAGACUGGAGUCUUGUGGAUUACUACUUGUGUAUUAUUGUGAUUAAUUUUAUCAGCUGUUUGGACUCUCACUCUGCACCCAUUCACUGCAGAGGAUCCAUUGGUAAGCAAGUGAUGAAGUGAUGUUACAUUUGUGUUUUGAUGAAGAAACAAACUCAUCUACAUCUUGGAUGGCCAGAGAGUGAAGAAAUUUCAGUUUGGGUG